RNAcentral lists this ribosomal RNA (468 nucleotides) under uncultured bacterium. RNAcentral's name for it is "partial 16S ribosomal RNA". It matches the Rfam family "Bacterial small subunit ribosomal RNA", at positions 28 to 507 of the family's 1533-position model. The record is from RNAcentral.
GACGAACGCUGGCGGCGUGCUUAACACAUGCAAGUCGAACGGAAAGGCCCUGCUUUUGUGGGGUGCUCGAGUGGCGAACGGGUGAGUAACACGUGAGUAACCUGCCCUUGACUUUGGGAUAACUUCAGGAAACUGGGGCUAAUACCGGAUAGGAGCUCCUGCUGCGUGGUGGGGGUUGGAAAGUUUCGGCGGUUGGGGAUGGACUCGCGGCUUAUCAGCUUGUUGGUGGGGUAGUGGCUUACCAAGGCUUUGACGGGUAGCCGGCCUGAGAGGGUGACCGGCCACAUUAGGACUGAGAUACGGCCCAGACUCCUACGGGAGGCAGCAGUGGGGAAUAUUGCACAAUGGGCGGAAGCCUGAUGCAGCAACGCCGCGUGCGGGAUGACGGCCUUCGGGUUGUAAACCGCUUUCGCCUGUGACGAAGCGUGAGUGACGGUAAUGGGUAAAGAAGCACCGGCUAACUACGUG